CAGAUCCAAGCCAUGUCUGCGACCUACACCACAGCUCAUGGCAACACUGGAUCCUUAACCCACUGAGCAAGGCCGUGGAUCGAACCUGCGUCCUCAUGGAUACUAGUCAGAUUCGUUUCUGCUGUGCCACACGGGGCCUUGAAAUACGGUUGGGGUCUGAAUAUGGAACAGUGCAGAGAAGAGGGACGGGCACCCCACAUGGAUGAGCAGUGAGAAAAAGAGCUUGGUGGAAAGAGUGGGGGCGCGCCUGGGGACGGCAAGGAAGCCGGGUCCAGGAGGCAGAGGAUGUGCGGGGAAGGCGGAAGAUGUGGUUGACUGAGAGGUGGCCAUGGGAAGCUCGAGUGAACCACAUCGAAGCCCUCCGUCUAGCGUCGCUUUGCAGUCGUGUGUGUGUGAUUACUGUCCACCCAUCCAUAGGGCCACCCCGCUACCCUGUGAGCACAGGGGCAUAUGUUUUAUCAUGGACACUGGUAUGUGUAAAGACUUGCGUGUGCCAGACACACCUGGCUCAAAUGGGAGUGCAGCUCUUCCUCAGUUUUGUGUAACUGCUGGUCACUGAGCUCCAGCGGAGAGCCAUGCCUGGCACUCUGAGACUGACACGCUACCUGCUGUGCUAACAAGGCACCUCAAUGCCUGGCACUAGAUGCUGGAGCGUGAGGACAAACAGGUUGAGAUCUAAAAAGUAAGACUUGGACCGGGGCUGUCCUUAGACUCACCUGAGUCCUUCAGACCUUCCUUCCUGCAGAACCUGGGGAGAUGUUGGGCUGAAGACUGAGGAUGCAGACACCGCGUCUGCCAUCUUCGUCCCAGCAGCUUCCACGCCAAUGCUGAGCUGCCACUGCUCUGCCUUGGGGCCAGACGAAAGGCCGUGUUCUCAUCCAGCGCCCCCUCUGAAAAAGCAGUUUGGUACCUUCUUAUAUACACCCACAAGGCUGGCCCCAGAUUGCAAGAAAUAUUCAGAAGUGGUUUUCAAUGAUAACAUCCAGCUAACUCCUCUAAACCCAGGAGGCCUGGAGGCUGUUUAUCUCAAGGAAGAUGCCUGGAGCCUUCCCCCCGGACAUAAGUGGAGGAUCCCAGAACGUGUGAACAUGCAUCCUCUGACUGGGUACCGGUCAGCUGUCCCCCCGCCCCCACCACCAGGCACAGGAACCAAGGCAGAGGGCGGGAGGCAGGAGAGGCCAAAGUCCUUACCUGCUUCUGAGCCCAGGUUUUCCUGGCAGAGCUGGGAAGCGGGAAGUAUCUCCCUACCUGCCUCUAGCCCUGAGAUGCUGAGAAGGAAGCCAGGACCCCGAGGGAGGCUUUGGAUCUCUGCAGGACUGUGCCUGUGCCAUCUCUGGCACCAGUCUUUACUGAGCCCCCAGCAGGUUACCGUAGCAUCCAGUCUGGUCUGGCCUGGCACCUAAGAGAUUGGGUUUUAAAACGAGGGCCUAUCUACAAAAAAUAAAGUAAUAGUGACAGCUAAAUUUAUCAAGUAGUUACUCUGUUCCAGGUGUGGUGCUAAGUGUUUGCUUUGCAUUCGCUCAUUUAAGCCUCCCCGUGACUCUGGAAUAAUUGUGGGAUUGUUUGACAGCUGAGGAAACUGAGUCACAGAGAGACAUGGUCUCUUUCUGAAAUCACUCGGCCAGUAACAGGUGGAAGUGGACAUUGAACCCGUCUGCCUCCAGAGCUUGUACGCCUCAGGGAAGUCGGCCCCGGGGGGUGUGUAGGAGCCACCAGAGGUCAGAGCAGAGAGGUCAGCUGCUGACCAGCCGGACUCUGAGAUCCGGUUUCUCGCUGUUGGAGCCGGCUGCCCCCACUGCUUCAGGGAGGGGACUGCUGCCCUGCUGUAUGAGCCACCUUUGCCAGGAGGAUUAGCUUCUUCCUCGUGUCAAAACAAGCCAAGCAGGAAAAAAAUCAACAACCAACUCCCGACUUCCAGCAGCAAGAGCCCUGCAUCCUGUCCAGCAGGAGGGAGCUCUCCGCUGCGGAGGGGGUCGACUGUCCUAGACCACGUCCUGGUUGUGGGCGUGUGCCGAGAGGGACCCCGAGACCCCCGGGUUUCCAGGUCGGGGCCCCGAGGCCCUGCCAGUGCACAGUCCCUGGCAGCAGCCCUUCUCCUCUGCUCCCCAUCCAGCCCUGUGACGUCUGCUGAUAUCCCGUCCUGCCACGGGCUUGCUCUGCGUCCACGGCGAGCCCAGUGACCGUUUGCAGGGUAAGGACAUUGGAUGUGAGCAGUGGUUUUCAAAACAAAAUGUUUCUUUGUUGCAAAGGAACAUGUUCUUCAGAUGAAACAACUUCUGCUAGAAUAGCAAACAGUCUAAAGCAGAGGUGUCAGUUUUCGUAAAAAUAAACAAGGGCCAAAAACCUUGGGUCAGUCAAAAUUCUCUGCAAAUGGUUCCCUGAGCCUGACUGGAUCUCCUUUUGCCACUCCUGCCCCCUUUGGUGGCCUUUGCACCUUCUGGCUUGAUUGGAAGUUGUGGAUUCUUCGGAGCCCCCUCAGCUUCCUCCAUGGAGCCUCAGUGCGUCGUGGUUCCAGCUGCAUUUAUUAACCAUUUUAAUCGUUGGGCUCCCCCGAACUGCCUGGUGGUAGCUUCAGAGAAUGUGUGUGUAUAUUUGCAUACACAUGGUAUUUGCAUAGAUGAUGUAUGCAGACAGCAUAUAUUUGCAUAUGCAUUUAUGUAUAUGUGUGUAUCCGUGGGAACAUAUGUGCGUAUGCAUGUGCGUGUCACAUACGGAGAGAGCCUUUGGAGAGAGGCCAUGUCUUUGUGUCCCUCAGCACCUGGUCAGCAGUAGGCCCGCAGGAGCGUUUCGAUCGCGGGGGUCUUCUGCGUCCUCAGAACAUCUUCUUGCCCAUGUCAGGUGCUCAGUAAAUACUAGCGUCGAAUGAUUGGGUGACUUGGCAGGUCAUACCUGGAAAGUCUUGGCUAUCAAUCUUGGGUCUUGCCAUGUACUUGCUGUAAAAUCGGGGUAAAUAUUCAUCACUUGUCUUAACCAUCGGGUGGGGAUGACAGCGCAUGCCUGCCGCAACUGCUGAUGGAAUGCCUGCCACAGUCCAGGCACGCCUCUCAGCAGUUUACAAAGCAGACAGAGGUCCUUGUCCUCAUGGAGCUCACAUUUCAGCCAGAUUCGAGAAGAGCCCCUCUCCCGCCCCCGACCCCGAGUUGCUGGGAGAAGAGGAGGAGGAAAGGGUCCCUCCUGCUUGGUCAGAGGCAGAGCCACAACCUGGGUUGGGACUGCCACAGGAUGGAGGGGCGCUGGUGGCCUGUGUGGGACACAGGACUCUCAGCGCGGAGUUUACGCCAUGAGAGAAGAGGAGGAGGAAAUGCCAUCGGGGCUGAGCUGGAAGGGUAGCAAGUCUCUCUGCCUCCCCAGGCACCUGCUCUGACUGACCCUGAGGCUGUGCCCCCCGCCCCCAGUCAGCACCACGUGGAGCUGCCCUCGUCUGAGGGCUGCAGCCCCAGAGCCCUGCUGCCUCCAUGCCUCUCUUUUCUAGUGGCAUCUCUUUUACCCAUUUCCAGGGCAUCGCUCUGGGAAAUAGAGAGAGGAGGCUUUGGCCCUGGUCACCUCUGGCUGCCCUGCUGGCCCUCGGAGCCGCAUGUUCAUGGAGGUUUGUCCCUCACCGAGGAUGAUUUCGAGUGAGUUUUACUUGAUCUUGGCUCUGCUUUAGUGCCCUCGUCUAUAAGGUGGGACUGGUAAUAAUUGCACUUACCUCAUGGAGUUAUUGAAAGGAUUAAAUGAGCCUGUAAAGUGCUUAAAAUAGUAUCUGGCUCAGAGUAAGUGCUCUGUCUGUUCAUGCUGGAUGGCUGGAUGCAUUUGUGUAGUGGCGGUGGGCCUGUCUGCUUGGCCCUGUGACCACGAGCUCGCCGUGGGCAGGACACAUCCCACGUGUCCCUAUAGUCUCAGCACCUAGCCCGGUGCCUGGCACACGGUAGGCAUGCCGCAAAUACACGUUAUGAGAACAGUGACCACUCUGGGAACUUUCACAUGCCACAGGUGUGG
This 3978-nucleotide long non-coding RNA is filed under the name Sus scrofa (pig). Its description in RNAcentral is "lncRNA (ENSSSCG00065026381.1)". Lineage: Eukaryota; Metazoa; Chordata; Mammalia; Artiodactyla; Suidae. The record is from RNAcentral.